UUGACCUCGGAUCAGGUAGGGAUACCCGCUGAACUUAAGCAUAUCAAUAAGCGGAGGAAAAGAAACCAACUGGGAUUGCCUUAGUAACGGCGAGUGAAGCGGCAAUAGCUCAAAUUUGAAAGCUGGCGCCUUCGGCGCCCGCGUUGUAAUUUGCAGAGGAUGCUUCGGCGAGGACUCCUGCCUAAGUUCCCUGGAAUGGGACGUCGCAGAGGGUGAGAAUCCCGUAUGUGGCGGGCGGUCCGAGCCAUGUGAAGCUCCUUCGACGAGUCGAGUUGUUUGGGAAUGCAGCUCUAAAUGGGAGGUAAAUUUCUUCUAAAGCUAAAUACCGGCCAGAGACCGAUAGCGCACAAGUAGAGUGAUCGAAAGAUGAAAAGCACUUUGGAAAGAGAGUUAAAAAGUACGUGAAAUUGUUGAAAGGGAAGCGCUUGCAACCAGACUCGCCCGCGGCAGCUCUGCCCGCCUCCUGGCGGGCGUACUCUGCCGCGGUCGGGCCAGCAUCAGUUCGGGCGGCCGGAUAAAGGCGACGGGAAUGUAGCACCCCUCGGGGUGUGUUAUAGCCCGCUGCGGAAUGCGGCCAGCCUGGACUGAGGAUCUCGCUUCGGCAAGGAUGCUGGCGUAAUGGUUGUAAGCGGCCCGUCU
Molecule: ribosomal RNA, 639 nt
Filed under: Phyllosticta kobus
Lineage: Eukaryota; Fungi; Ascomycota; Dothideomycetes; Botryosphaeriales; Phyllostictaceae
Description: eukaryotic LSU rRNA
Rfam family: Eukaryotic large subunit ribosomal RNA
Source: RNAcentral